Molecule: ribosomal RNA, 253 nt
Filed under: uncultured bacterium
Lineage: Bacteria
Description: partial 16S ribosomal RNA
Rfam family: Bacterial small subunit ribosomal RNA
Source: RNAcentral
GACGGAGGGUGCUAGCGUUGUUCGGAAUUACUGGGCGUAAAGGGCGCGUAGGCGGCCUGUUAAGUCGGGUGUGAAAGCCCGGGGCUCAACCCCGGAACGGCACCCGAGACUGGCGGGCUUGAGACCGAGAGAGGAGAGUGGAAUACCCAGUGUAGAGGUGAAAUUCGUAGAGAUUGGGUGGAACACCAGGGGCGAAAGCGGCUCUCUGGCUCGGUUCUGACGCUGAGGCGCGAAAGCGUGGGGAGCAAACAGG